ACGAACGCUGGCGGCGUGCUUAACACAUGCAAGUCGAACGGAAAGGCCUUUCGGAGGUACUCGAGUGGCGAACGGGUGAGUAACACGUGGGUGAUCUGCCCUGCACUCUGGGAUAAGCCUGGGAAACUGGGUCUAAUACCGGAUAGGACCGCACUUUAGUGUGUGUGGUGGAAAGUUUUUUCGGUGUAGGAUGAGCCCGCGGCCUAUCAGCUUGUUGGUGGGGUAAUGGCCUACCAAGGCGGCGACGGGUAGCCGGACUGAGAGGUUGGUCGGCCACAUUGGGACUGGGAUUACGGCCAGAACCCUACGGGGAGCAAGAGGGGGGAAUAUUGCACAAUGGGCGGAAGCCUGGUGCAGGCGAGGCGGGUUGGGGAUGACCGGCCUUCGGUUGUAAACUCCUUUCGCCAGGGACGAAGCGUUUUGUGACGGUACCUGGAGAAGAAGCACCGGCUAACUACGUG
Molecule: ribosomal RNA, 461 nt
Filed under: uncultured bacterium
Lineage: Bacteria
Description: partial 16S ribosomal RNA
Rfam family: Bacterial small subunit ribosomal RNA
Source: RNAcentral